This 29-nucleotide small RNA is filed under the name Bombyx mori (domestic silkworm). RNAcentral describes it as "ovarian small RNA-9851". Lineage: Eukaryota; Metazoa; Arthropoda; Insecta; Lepidoptera; Bombycidae. The record is from RNAcentral.
AAAACUACGAGGCAUUAAUGACUAUAAUG